RNAcentral lists this transfer RNA (73 nucleotides) under Ictidomys tridecemlineatus (thirteen-lined ground squirrel). RNAcentral's name for it is "Spermophilus tridecemlineatus (thirteen-lined ground squirrel) tRNA". It matches the Rfam family "tRNA". Rfam says of the family: Transfer RNA (tRNA) molecules are approximately 80 nucleotides in length. Their secondary structure includes four short double-helical elements and three loops (D, anti-codon, and T loops). The record is from Rfam by way of RNAcentral. Lineage: Eukaryota; Metazoa; Chordata; Mammalia; Rodentia; Sciuridae.
GGAGAUAUAGCUCAGUUGGUAGAGUGCUUGUCUCACAUGAACAAGACACUAGGUUCAAUCCCUAGCACCACCA